Long non-coding RNA from Salvelinus namaycush (lake trout), 891 nucleotides. RefSeq lists it as uncharacterized. The record is from RefSeq and is a predicted model, not a curated record. NCBI's taxonomy places the organism in Eukaryota, Metazoa, Chordata, Actinopteri, Salmoniformes, Salmonidae. The transcript is spliced from 2 exons.
GGGCGGUGCUCUUCAUCCACACACUUCCUGAAAAUGGGCUCGGAAGAGAGUUUGGACACGAAAGGAGCUUUGGUAUCUUUACCAAAACACUCAUACUGGUUUGACUUUUGGCUGUUUGUGAUGUUUGACAUCGCAUUUUUCCUCGUUAUGUAUUUCAUAGUUCCCUAGCUAAAAUGGAGUGACUUGGAAUUCUACACUUGAAAUGCUGCCCCCUUUAACCAUGACCCCCUGUUGCCUGAAAUGAUCGAUCUUUAAAAAGGAGUGUUUACACCACUGAAGUAUAAGGUUUACACGCCUCGACCAGAUUGGUGUUCAAAUUAUAUUGGAUGUCUUCCUUUGUUAGGCCUAUGUUUUGUUUUUAACUGCCCACAUUUUGGCAUUAUAUGGAAUAUUUACCAGUAUUUGUCAGUAUGUCCAGAAAAUAGCAAAAUUGUGAGACCAUAACAUUUGAAUAUGCCUGUUGUUUAAAUCAAGACAAUGAUUUGUGGCAGUCUGACUAUUUAAAAUGUGAAACUCAACUUCAAGACAACACCUCAUUCUGGAUAAAAGUGACUGCUAAAUGACUGCAACGUCACAAGAACUGCAGGUUAACAUGAUGUAGCUAGUGGAAUAAAGUGUGCUCUCUCUAAAAUGUGUAUUUCUGAUUUGGAUAUGAGACAAAUGAGAGAAGGCGACUUGAUUGAGCCACCUAAACAUGAUGAUUGGAACAAGAUUACAGCAAUAAGGGGAAAGAGAUGUAUUCCCGAUCUCUUGAACAAAGAUCCUACUGAAACUGCAUCGGCAUAAACCACAGGUCUGUAAGUCUGUUGUCUGGAAUAAAAGUGAUGUACACUAUGAUAUAAACUUAUGUAAAUUCCUAAAUAAACAUGUUUUUUUUUUGUCACAUUCUCA